Molecule: ribosomal RNA, 479 nt
Filed under: uncultured bacterium
Lineage: Bacteria
Description: bacterial SSU rRNA
Rfam family: Bacterial small subunit ribosomal RNA
Source: RNAcentral
AAUGAACGUUGGCGGCGUGGAUUAGGCAUGCAAGUCGAGCGUACCCAGCAAUGGGGAAGCGGCAAACGGGGUAGUAAGGCGUCGGUACGUGCCUCCUGGACGGGGACAGCCACGGGAAACUGUGGGUAAUACCCGAUGACAUCGCGAGAUCAAAGGUGUGAUUCCGCCGGGAGAGCGGCUGACGUGGUAUUAGGUAGUUGGUAAGGUAAUGGCUUACCAAGCCUGGGAUGCCUAGGGGGUGUGAGAGCAUGGCCCCCACCAUUGGGACUGAGACACUGCCCAGACACCUACGGGUGGCUGCAGUCGAGGAUCUUCGGCAAUGGGCGCAAGCCUGACCGAGCGACGCCGCGUGCGGGAUGAAGGCCCUCGGGUUGUAAACCGCUGUCAGGGGGGAUGAAGUCAUGGUGGGUUCUCCCAUCAUGUUGACAGAGCCCCAGAGGAAGCGCGGGCUAAGUUCGUGCCAGCAGCCGCAGUAAAAC